RNAcentral lists this ribosomal RNA (213 nucleotides) under Arthrobotrys sp. Its description in RNAcentral is "partial large subunit ribosomal RNA". The record is from RNAcentral. Lineage: Eukaryota; Fungi; Ascomycota; Orbiliomycetes; Orbiliales; Orbiliaceae.
AAGCGCUUGCAAUCAGACUCGCUUGCGGUUGAUCAACGUUCCUUCUGGUGCGUGCACUCUGCCGUUGGCGGGCCAGCAUCGGUUGGGGCGGCGGGACAAAGACGGUUGGAAUGUGGCUCCCCUCGGGGAGUGUUAUAGCCUUCCGUGCAAUGCCGCCAGCCCCGACCGAGGUCCGCGGUUCGCCUAGGAUGCUGGCUUAAUGGUUGUAAGCGA